GACGAACGCUGGCGGCGUGCUUAACACAUGCAAGUCGAACGGAAAGGCCCUGCUUUUGUGGGGUGCUCGAGUGGCGAACGGGUGAGUAACACGUGAGUAACCUGCCCUUGACUUUGGGAUAACUUCAGAAAACUGGGGCUAAUACCGGAUAGGAGCUCCUGCUGCAUGGUGGGGGUUGGAAAGUUUCGGCGGUGGGGGAUGGACUCGCGGCUUAUCAGCUUGUUGGUGGGGUAGUGGCUUACCAAGGCUUUGACGGGUAGCCGGCCUGAGAGGGUGACCGGCCACAUUGGGACUGAGAGACGGCCCAGACUCCUACGGGAGGCAGCAGUGGGGAAUAUUGCACAAUGGGCGGAAGCCUGAUGCAGCAACGCCGCGUGCGGGAUGACGGCCUUCGGGUUGUAAACCGCUUUCGCCUGUGACGAAGCGUGAGUGACGGUAAUGGGUAAAGAAGCACCGGCUAACUACGUG
This 468-nucleotide ribosomal RNA is filed under the name uncultured bacterium. Its description in RNAcentral is "partial 16S ribosomal RNA". It matches the Rfam family "Bacterial small subunit ribosomal RNA", at positions 28 to 507 of the family's 1533-position model. The record is from RNAcentral.